GACGAACGCUGGCGGCGUGCUUAACACAUGCAAGUCGAGCGAGGGGCUUCGGCUCCUAGCGGCGAACGGGUGAGUAACACGUGGGCAACCUGCCCCGAGCUCUGGAAUAACCUCGGGAAACCGGGGCUAAUGCCGGAUAUGACAUCACUGGGCAUCUGGUGGUGUGGAAAGAUUUAUCGGCUCGGGAUGGGCCCGCGGCCUAUCAGCUUGUUGGUGGGGUGAUGGCCUACCAAGGCGACGACGGGUAGCCGGCCUGAGAGGGCGACCGGCCACACUGGGACUGAGACACGGCCCAGACUCCUACGGGAGGCAGCAGUGGGGAAUAUUGCGCAAUGGGCGAAAGCCUGACGCAGCGACGCCGCGUGAGGGAUGACGGCC
Molecule: ribosomal RNA, 378 nt
Filed under: Frankia sp.
Lineage: Bacteria; Bacillati; Actinomycetota; Actinomycetes; Frankiales; Frankiaceae
Description: bacterial SSU rRNA
Rfam family: Bacterial small subunit ribosomal RNA
Source: RNAcentral